Camelus dromedarius (Arabian camel) is the source of this 1756-nucleotide long non-coding RNA. RefSeq lists it as uncharacterized. NCBI's taxonomy places the organism in Eukaryota, Metazoa, Chordata, Mammalia, Artiodactyla, Camelidae. The record is from RefSeq and is a predicted model, not a curated record. The transcript is spliced from 4 exons.
ACUGUAAGUUCUCCUCCAUGGUUUCACUACAUGGAGUCCACAGGUCAUCCUGGACGUGGUGUCCCAGAGAAGUCAUAGAAGAUCAGACCUCGGGUGAAUACACUCAAAUCAGGCUGCAAAUACAUGUGAGUUGGAGGAAGAAGUGAAUCAAACAGUUGGAAGAAGUGACAAAUGAGAGCCUAUUUUAGAAGGGCAAAAAUGAGGACAGCAGGAAGGAACAAAAUAUUUCAUCAAAGGCAAUACUAACGUGGUUACAGCAAUGCUGGAGGACUCUUCAAUAGUUAAAGGGCAGACCUCUGCACGGGCACCACCCUGCUUACCUGAUAGACCCACUCUGAGUUCUAAUAGCCAAUCUGAAAUGAGCAUAUCGGAAACUGUGCUUCCUGUCACCCCAGUUUGCUCUGCCUACAGUUUCUUCCCAGGAGAGGAAACAGAUACAUGGCGACUUGGCGAUCUGACCAAGAAGUCCACAGUUCAUACAUUGCUGACUCACUGGGUUUAGAAAUGUUUCUCCAGUCUUAGGUUCUCCUGCCCAUAUCCUUGAUGACAUAAGUCAGACUUUUACCACUUCCUGCUUGGACUUUGUCAGUGACUAGCUUCCACACCUGUCUUUUUCUGGUUUUCUCUACCAUCCUCUACAUUUUUCACACUGUCUCCUUUUGACAUGUUUUUAAAAUAUACAUUCAGUUUCCUUCCUCCUUCCUCCCUUCCUUCCUUCCAUAGAUUAAAGUUCUAUGAUUCAGUAGAUUAAUAUUCAAACUUUAUAGUCAAAACUUUAGACAGCUGAACUAAGACUAGGUAGUCUGCAAAUUAGGCAGAUCUGAGUUCAAGUCACUGAUGAUCCAGUUACUAGUUAUACAAUCACCCCCAAGUUAUUUUACUUCUCUGAUUCCUAGUCUCUCAUUUGGAAAAUGGGGAAAACAGCAUUUAAGACUUAAUUUUUCUUUCACAUAAUAGACACUCAGUAAAUGAUAUUUAUUAUCAUUAUCUACAGUAAAAAACCCCAAAAUAUAUUUAGAAGAUCACAUACACAAAAUUCUAAAAGAGAUCCCAAAUAUGUAAAAUGAAAUAAAACAAAGUAAGAAAGUGUCUGGGGUCACGCAAUGGCAUAGAAUUUCAGUUGGUGGCCAAACUGAUGUAAUUUUGCGCGAAGAGUGAAUUUAAUUAUAAAUGGACUAUAUAACCAGCCUUUGCUUUUACCAUAAAUAACUCAACAACAAAGAAUUAGCAAUAAUAAGUUCUAAUACAUUCUGAUGUGUAUGGAUCAGGACAGGUUUGUAAUGGGUACGCCAGUAAUGAAUAGAAAUGUCCUAUAUCCUACUCCUCACUUGAAAUAUUAAGAAGAAUUACUGUCUGAAUUUAUAGCUCUCUAAGAAUACACUUUCCUACUAAUGAGUGUUCUCAUAUAGAUUUUACACAUGCUUAUGUUAAAUAUAGGCUAACUGACAGAAUAUUUUGAAAUGCUCAGAGUGAUUAAUCAAGGCUGCUUCAUUUAGUGAUGAGAGAUAUUCAGUGAGACUUCAAGAUUUCAACUUUAGUUAAAUUAAGUUCAUAAGCAUAAAAACUCAUUUGAAUUCAGGAAAAUAUUUUGGGCCUUUGGAAGCUAAAUGGCAGUACUCUGAAACACAAACCUAGCAUCUGUGACCCUAAGCUGAUGUCCAGGUAACUUCACACUGACUAGCAGUGUUGGCUGAGAAGUAAACACAGUGUUCUGCUUGUCUGGACUUAAAUAAACUCAUGUGAAGUAACAUCGUAA